This 483-nucleotide ribosomal RNA is filed under the name uncultured bacterium. RNAcentral describes it as "partial 16S ribosomal RNA". It matches the Rfam family "Bacterial small subunit ribosomal RNA", at positions 28 to 523 of the family's 1533-position model. The record is from RNAcentral.
GACGAACGCUGGCGGCGUGCCUAAUACAUGCAAGUCGAGCGAACCACUUCGGUGAUGAGCGGCGAACGGGUGAGUAACACGUAGGUGAUCUGCCCAUCAGACGGGGACAACGAUUGGAGACGAUCGCUAAUACCGGAUAGGACGAAAGUUUAAAGGUGCUUCUGGCACCGCUGAUGGAUGAGCCUGCGGCGCAUUAGCUAGUUGGUAGGGUAAAGGCCUACCAAGGCGACGAUGCGUAGCCGACCUGAGAGGGUGAACGGCCACACUGGGACUGAGACACGGCCCAGACUCCUACGGGAGGCAGCAGUAGGGAAUCUUCCGCAAUGGACGCAAGUCUGACGGAGCAACGCCGCGUGAGUGAUGAAGGGUUUCGGCUCGUAAAACUCUGUUGUUAAGGAAGAACACUUGAGGUAGUAACUGGCCUUGAGAUGACGGUACUUAACCAGAAAGCCACGGCUAACUACGUGCCAGCAGCCGCAGUAA